CGGACAUCAAAUUGUGUGUUAUACGCUGUAACUCGCACCUUGCGAUGCAGGUGGAUAACUCUUUAUGAAUUUUGUUACUUUUGUAUACAUUAGGAAUUAUUCAAGAUAUAAAUCCCGGUUAAUUAAUUUCCACUUUUGCAGGUACUGCCCCAGUCCGCACACCGCCCAGCACGGUAUUCACGACGCCGCCACAGUAGCGGCUACUGUAACAACGCACACGUAACACGCGCUAUAGGAAGCAGCAAGAACCGCCACAGUAGCGAGUACAGCGCGCAGCGAAGCAACAACGUGCGCAGGCAACAACAUCCGCCACAGCAGCGGGUGCAACAACGCGCGGAAGCAACACCGAGCCAUCCACAACAACAACCGCCACAGCAGCGGGUGCAACAAUGCCCGCCACAGCAGCGUGGACAACAGCGCGCAACACCAACAACAACAGCGCACAACGCUAACAGUAGCAGCGCUCAACACCAGCAACAACAGCGCACAACCCCAGCGACUACAACAACAGCAGGCCACACCCAAGCCUGCUGCAACAAGGGUGAGUCCUUCGGGCCUAAACUAAGUUUUUUUUUCCAAUA
Molecule: long non-coding RNA, 581 nt
Organism: Rhagoletis pomonella (apple maggot)
Lineage: Eukaryota; Metazoa; Arthropoda; Insecta; Diptera; Tephritidae
Exons: 2
Source: RefSeq, a predicted model, not a curated record